GUAGAUGCUUGCUUCUUCUCAUUCAUUUCACAAAAACCAAAUCAAAAAAUUAUAAAGACAAACCUUAGUCUUUUACACGGCAAACCUUAGUUUCCCCAGUCCAUCUUUCAAGUGCAAGAAAAAUUCCUCAUUCAAUCUGCAUAGUUCUUUUGUAAUGAUGUUAUAGAAUGAUAUCCAUCCCUCAUUAUGUACAAAAACAGUGCAAAUGGAACACUUAUAUUUAAGAAACAACAAGCUUUGAAUAAGUUGUAAGCAUUAUUUCAAAAAGAACAAAAUUUUGAACAUUUCAUAGAUUAUUCAUCCAAUGCUUAUUCUAAAUGGGAAUAAAUUUACUUUGCCUCAUGAGGUUUGUAUUUGAUCCAAUUGCUCCACUGGACAUUUGUAAGUAGGAACAAAGGGCCCAAUCAAAUGGACUCUGUUGGUCAUCUCUAAUUGGAAACGAGAAAUUCACCUAGCAAUAAUUCCUGUAUUUUGUAUAAUACAGAUUAUCGGCCAUAACUAUAAUAUCAUGCUGAUAUUUACAAUUCAAAAUCCAAUCAUAAAGAAAUUCAAAUUAAGGAAAGCUGGAAUCAAAUUAAUAUAAACCCAAACUAUCAAUUCUUACUGUGGCACAUGGCAACUAUGACAGGCUGAACACGCUACCAAGCUUUGGGUACUCUUCUCUCAGCACCACUGGCCCCUUCAAAAAUUGCAACAGCCUAUCGAGCACCUACCAAAAAGAUUGUCGUCGUUUCUUCGAUCUGGGCAUUAUUAAUGCUGAAAUCAGUUUUUCCGCUAACAGAGUCGUCACUAGUAAGAGGCCCACAUUCUAGAUUUUGUUGUUUUUGGUCGACUCCAUUUCCAUACAGCAUCAAUCCCUACUCCUGGUGGCGGAAGGGCAGCAACAGGAGCAAUCAAUAACACAAUCGGAAUCGUAGCGAUGGUUGACCAAAAUCGGCAGGCAGUUGCCUAAAAUUGUAUAAAUAGUUUUGGAUUUUCUAAGGGAAGAGUUUUGAUUUCCCAAUUACAGAAUGAAAAUAUGAUUCUUCAUUUAAAAAAAAGAAAAAAAGAAAAAAAAAAUUGGAGAGUGGAAGACGGCAAACUUUAGAGAGGGAAUGACAAAAUUUUGGAGAAAACCUUGGAGGCAAAAGAAAGAGUG
This 1138-nucleotide long non-coding RNA is filed under the name Olea europaea (common olive). RNAcentral describes it as "long non-coding RNA (OEUR_LNC009723)". Lineage: Eukaryota; Viridiplantae; Streptophyta; Magnoliopsida; Lamiales; Oleaceae. The record is from RNAcentral.